UACGUGCCAGCAGCCGCGGUANUACGUAGGUGNCNAGCGUUGUCNGNANNNAUUGGNNGUAAANNGCUCGCAGGCGGUUUCUUAAGUCUGAUGNGAAAGCCCCCGGCUCAACCGGGGAGGGUCAUUGGAAACUGGGGAACUUGAGUGCAGAAGAGGAGAGUGGAAUNCCACGUGUAGCGGUGAAAUGCGUAGAGAUGUGGAGGAACACCAGUGGCGAAGGCGACUCUCUGGUCUGUAACUGACGCUGAGGAGCGAAAGCGUGGGGAGCGAACAGGAUUAGAUACCCUGGUAGUCCACGCCGUAAACGAUGAGUGCUAAGUGUUAGGGGGUUUCCGCCCCUUAGUGCUGCAGCUAACGCAUUAAGCACUCCGCCUGGGGAGUACGGUCGCAAGACUGAAACUCAAAGGAAUUGACGGGGGCCCGCACAAGCGGUGGAGCAUGUGGUUUAAUUCGAAGCAACGCGAAGAACCUUACCAGGUCUUGACAUCCUCUGACAAUCCUAGAGAUAGGACGUCCCCUUCGGGGGCAGAGUGACAGGUGGUGCAUGGUUGUCGUCAGCUCGUGUCGUGAGAUGUUGGGUUAAGUCCCGCAACGAGCGCAACCCUUGAUCUUAGUUGCCAGCAUUCAGUUGGGCACUCUAAGGUGACUGCCGGUGACAAACCGGAGGAAGGUGGGGAUGACGUCAAAUCAUCAUGCCCCUUAUGACCUGGGCUACACACGUGCUACAAUGGACAGAACAAAGGGCAGCGAAACCGCGAGGUUAAGCCAAUCCCACAAAUCUGUUCUCAGUUCGGAUCGCAGUCUGCAACUCGACUGCGUGAAGCNGGAAUCGCUGUAAUCGCGGAUCAGCAUGCCGCNAGAAUACGUUCCCAAGCCUUUGCACACCGCCC
This 890-nucleotide ribosomal RNA is filed under the name Bacillus subtilis. Its description in RNAcentral is "bacterial SSU rRNA". It matches the Rfam family "Bacterial small subunit ribosomal RNA", at positions 502 to 1395 of the family's 1533-position model. The record is from RNAcentral. Lineage: Bacteria; Bacillati; Bacillota; Bacilli; Caryophanales; Bacillaceae.